UACGAAGGGUGCAAGCGUUACUCGGAAUUACUGGGCGUAAAGCGUGCGUAGGUGGUUUGUUAAGUCUGUUGUGAAAGCCCCGGGCUCAACCUGGGAAUGGCAAUGGAUACUGGCAGGCUAGAGUGCGGUAGAGGUAGUGGAAUUCCGGUGUAGCGGUGAAAUGCGUAGAGAUCGGAGGAACGCCAGUGGCGAAGGCGGCUACCUGGACCAGCACUGACACUGAGGCACGAAAGCGUGGGGAGCAAACAGGAUUAGAAACC
Molecule: ribosomal RNA, 260 nt
Filed under: uncultured bacterium
Lineage: Bacteria
Description: partial 16S ribosomal RNA
Rfam family: Bacterial small subunit ribosomal RNA
Source: RNAcentral